Long non-coding RNA from Tympanuchus pallidicinctus (lesser prairie-chicken), 1560 nucleotides. RefSeq lists it as uncharacterized. The transcript has 3 exons. The record is from RefSeq and is a predicted model, not a curated record. Lineage: Eukaryota; Metazoa; Chordata; Aves; Galliformes; Phasianidae.
CACAGUGGAGGGAACAGCCCCAGACACCAGGCAGCAUCAGACUUUCACCAUCUCCUUUUCCACUGUGAGGAGUUUUUCUCUGACAUUGCUUCCUCUACACUAAACACACAGCUGCACUGAGGCUGGAGAAACAAGCUACUGAAAGAGGCCUUCUCAUGCACCCACUUCUUCUGCCAAGGCACAGUAAGGGAGCCUCCAUCUUCUCCUGUCAGGACACUGUUGCUGCAGCUGAAGCCCAUUUGCCGUUAUGAGGAUCAUCAUCCAGCAGCACAGUUGAGCUGGAGGAGCUUUACAUCAUCUCCUAAUGUAAACAAUAUUGUAAGAGAGUCCGACAGCCCCACAGGAUUUUCAUUGGGCGAUGAUUGAUGUGGAAAGGGAUGGAGCUGCAGUGAUUCUGCAUCAGUCACAGCUCUCACUUGGCUCUCAAACUGACCCUGUUAGCACAGUCUGACUUGGAUCAUUUGUCUCAGAAGUACCAAGGGAUUUUAAAACAGCUGUGGAUUCAACCAUUUCAAAUGGGAACAUAUUUUUGGUUUGUGGCCUUGUGCUUCACCCCAAGCACCUGUGGCUGAUACGCAAGGAGAAAAGCUCUGAUGUGCCAAUUGGACUCUGAUUUUGUGGCAGGACAAGCCAGACUUUGGAAAACACUCCUCUGCCUUCCUCAAGGCCGAGCACAGCAGGGAGCUUGAGGCGCCUGGUGCCUGAAAUGGAGGAAGGCAGGCUCUGUGCUGCACGAUGGAUGUCACAGCAAGAGGGAGAGCCGAGUUAUUUCCGCAAUCCCUUCGCAUAAUGGAUGGGGAUGUCAAGUUGCCGUCAUCUGAAGUAUGAGCACCUUGGAACCAAACAAAAAAUGACUGGCGGUGUCAGCUUUCAGGAAUGUAUGAGCAGAGGUGAUGGGGAGCUGCACAUGCAGCUCAGGCUUUCUCCAGCGUCUUCCUUUCAGCACAAGGGAUGACCUUGGCCCCUCUCCUCUUCCUCCACAGGCUGUCACGCACAGAUCUCCCGGUCUGAACCCUGUGCACACUCGCUGCAACGUGAGCAGCUCUCAGCGGGCGGUGCCUCAGGCAGGAGCCCAGCUCAGGGCGGAGUUGUGGCUCCAAUCUGCAGAUCUGCCAGAGGGCUUUGAACAGAUCUGAGCAUCUGCAAAUCCUGCCUGGCUUCUGAUCCGUCUCUUUGCUGUCAAUUGCUUGUGUGGAAUGUGAUACACAGAUCCACUGGGCAGCAUCCUCUGUACAGACACAAGUGAAGAUGGAGCAGAGCUUAGUGCUAAUCACAGAAUGACUGCAGUCACACCUCAAAGUCUCCUGGCCAGAGGAUGAAGCACUGACCAUAUCAUCAUCAUUGCCUCCAUCAUUUUGAGUAACCCUGACGGUGAGCUAUUGAUGGUAUGCUGAAGAGCUGUCUGCUCUCCAUCCAUCACAGUCCUCUCUCAAAGUGGGGACUCAAGUGCAAAAAGUCUCAUUGCUCACAUCUUGGUCUUGGAUGGCCAGAAAUUCUCAUCUCCAAGGCUGUAGUGGUGCUGUAUGGUAUUAGUAGGAAAUUGCAACUCAUGUUUUCCCU